RNAcentral lists this ribosomal RNA (506 nucleotides) under uncultured bacterium. RNAcentral describes it as "bacterial SSU rRNA". It matches the Rfam family "Bacterial small subunit ribosomal RNA", at positions 11 to 518 of the family's 1533-position model. The record is from RNAcentral.
GUUUGAUCCUGGCUCAGGAUGAACGCUGGCGGCGUGCUUAACACAUGCAAGUCGAGCGAAGCAUAAAAACAGAUUCUCGGAAUGAAAUUUUAUGACUGAGCGGCGGACGGGUGAGUAACGCGUGGGUGACCUGCCUCAUACAGGGGGAUAACAGACAGAAAUGUCUGCUAAUACCGCAUAAGCGCACGGUGCUGCAUGGCACAGUGUAGAAAAACUCCGGUGGUAUGAGAUGGACCCGCGUCUGAUUAGCUAGUUGGUAAGGUAACGGCUUACCAAGGCGACGAUCAGUAGCCGGCCUGAGAGGGUGAACGGCCACAUUGGGACUGAGACACGGCCCAAACUCCUACGGGAGGCAGCAGUGGGGAAUAUUGCACAAUGGGGGAAACCCUGAUGCCAGCGACGCCGCGUGAAGGAAGAAGUAUUUCGGUAUGUAAACUUCUAUCAGCAGGGAAGAAAAUGACGGUACCUGACUAAGAAGCCCCGGCUAACUACGUGCCAGCAGCAGC